Molecule: non-coding RNA, 22 nt
Filed under: Arabidopsis thaliana (thale cress)
Lineage: Eukaryota; Viridiplantae; Streptophyta; Magnoliopsida; Brassicales; Brassicaceae
Source: RNAcentral
UAGAAUAGUACCCUGCCACGGU